UCCAAUGGCAGGCAGGAAAUCUUGUAGUAGGUGAUCGUGGCCUUCCUUGGGAUCCCUGUUUCCCCCUUUUAUUCCCUUUUCACCCAGUAAAACCCUGCUUUGCUCACUCUUUAAAGCAUCUGUGAGCGUAAAUUUUUGUGGCCAUGGGAUGGACAAGAACCACAUGUUUACCUGAAGUCCUGUGACAUUUUGGUGUGCAGCAUGGGAGCUCCAAAAGUGAUGCAGGCCGCUCCCCAUCUUCUGGCCAUGUUAACACCUUUGGACCUAUGGCUGUUUAUCUCCAUUAGAUUACAUAAAAUGAGUCUCAUUGUGUUGCUCAGGCUGGAAUCCAGUGGCAUGAUCUCGGCUCAGUGCAACCUCCGCCUCCUGGGUUCAAGCAGUUCUCCUAGAUCAGCAUCAGCGUCCCGAGUAGCUGGGAUUACAGGCACCCGCCACCAUGCCUGGCUAAUGUUGGUCAGGCUGGCUCGAACUCCUGACCUCAAGAGAUCCACCUGCUUUGGCCUCCCAAAGUGCUCGGAUUACAGGCAUGAGCUGCCACACCCAGCCUCCAAAUACUUUUUUUUUAAAUCAAAAUAAUGAUUUCAAUGACUGAGAUCUGUUAUGUAUUUCAACAUAAUCAUGUUUCAUAAAGAUUUAGUCUUCUGAAA
Molecule: long non-coding RNA, 647 nt
Filed under: Homo sapiens (human)
Lineage: Eukaryota; Metazoa; Chordata; Mammalia; Primates; Hominidae
Source: RNAcentral